GAUGAACGCUGGCGGCAUGCCUAAUACAUGCAAGUCGAACGAAGUCUUUAGGAAGCUUGCUUCCAAAGAGACUUAGUGGCGAACGGGUGAGUAACACGUAGGUAACCUGCCCAUGUGCCCGGGAUAACUGCUGGAAACGGUAGCUAAAACCGGAUAGGUAUGAGGGAGGCAUCUUCCUCAUAUUAAAGCACCUUCGGGUGUGAACAUGGAUGGACCUGCGGCGCAUUAGCUGGUUGGUGAGGUAACGGCCCACCAAGGCGAUGAUGCGUAGCCGACCUGAGAGGGUGAACGGCCACAUUGGGACUGAGACACGGCCCAAACUCCUACGGGAGGCAGCAGUAGGGAAUUUUCGUCAAUGGGGGGAACCCUGAACGAGCAAUGCCGCGUGUGUGAAGAAGGUCUUCGGAUCGUAAAGCACUGUUGUAAGUGAAGAAUGCCAUAUAGAGGAAAUGCUAUGUGGGUGACGGUAGCUUACCAGAAAGCCACGGCUAACUACGUGCCA
Molecule: ribosomal RNA, 502 nt
Filed under: uncultured bacterium
Lineage: Bacteria
Description: bacterial SSU rRNA
Rfam family: Bacterial small subunit ribosomal RNA
Source: RNAcentral